RNAcentral lists this ribosomal RNA (122 nucleotides) under Trichuris suis (pig whipworm). Lineage: Eukaryota; Metazoa; Nematoda; Enoplea; Trichinellida; Trichuridae. The record is from RNAcentral.
GCCUACGAUCAUACUACGUUGAAAGCACCGCAUCCCGUCAGAUCUGCGAAGUUAAGCAACGUUAGGCCGGGUUAGUACUAUGGUUGGUGACAACAUGGGAACACUCGGUGUCGUAGGCGUUU